This 303-nucleotide ribosomal RNA is filed under the name uncultured bacterium. RNAcentral's name for it is "bacterial SSU rRNA". It matches the Rfam family "Bacterial small subunit ribosomal RNA", at positions 355 to 673 of the family's 1533-position model. The record is from RNAcentral.
UGGGGAAUAUUGGGCAAUGGGCGCAAGCCUGACCCAGCAACGCCGCGUGAAGGAAGAAGGCUUUCGGGUUGUAAACUUCUUUUAAGAGGGAAGAGCAGAAGACGGUACCUCUUGAAUAAGCCACGGCUAACUACGUGCCAGCAGCCGCGGUAAUACGUAGGUGGCAAGCGUUGUCCGGAUUUACUGGGUGUAAAGGGCGUGUAGCCGGGCUGACAAGUCAGAUGUGAAAUCCCGUGGCUCAACCACGGAACUGCAUUUGAAACUGUCGGUCUUGAGUAUCGGAGAGGCAGGCGGAAUUCCUAG